This is a long non-coding RNA of Poecilia latipinna (sailfin molly), 460 nucleotides long. RefSeq lists it as uncharacterized. The record is from RefSeq and is a predicted model, not a curated record. The transcript has 4 exons. Lineage: Eukaryota; Metazoa; Chordata; Actinopteri; Cyprinodontiformes; Poeciliidae.
UUAAUGUAGAGCAGGAACAGACAUGUUUUUAGGAGCAGUCACAUCCAAGCUUCAAAGCAUCAUCCCAGCUCCACCUAGCAACUGCCUCCAAAGUGAGCAGCACACCGACUUUUUUCCCCUCCUGUCUUUCCUUCUCACUCUCCUCUUUCAUUCCUUCACUCUUUCAACACACCCUUCUCACUGUGACUUAAAGUAAUGGAGAUAAAUUUACAAGCUCCCGUGCAGAUCUGCUGUCUUGGGAUCAGACUGUAUGGUGUGUUGUCAGACUUUUCCAUCUAAAGACUGGAAGACAAGGAGGCAGGCCAUCACAUUCAUGUCAGUGGAUGUAUACUGCUCACUCGCCCACAAAGAUGACAAAAGUCUGAGGAGCUUGAUCAAGCAUGAAUGACACAGAUGCUAAUUCCUCUCAGCCACUUUUCAAGAUGGGAAAUUCAAGAAAACGUGAUUCAAGAAAAGAAAA